CAGUCGCCGCGGUAAUACGAGGGGGGCAAGCGUUGUUCGGAAUUAUUGGGCGUAAAGGGUGCGUAGGCGGUUUGACAAGUUCUAUGUGAAAUCUAUGGGCUCAACCCAUAGUCUGCAUGGAAAACUGUCAGGCUUGAGGAUGGGAGAGGUGAGUGGAAUUUCCGGUGUAGCGGUGAAAUGCGUAGAUAUCGGAAGGAACACCUGUGGCGAAAGCGGCUCACUGGACCAUUUCUGACGCUGAUGCACGAAAGCUAGGGGAGCAAACAGGAUUAGAUACCCCCGUAGUCCCUGUCUCUUAUAC
This 301-nucleotide ribosomal RNA is filed under the name uncultured bacterium. Its description in RNAcentral is "partial 16S ribosomal RNA". It matches the Rfam family "Bacterial small subunit ribosomal RNA", at positions 509 to 807 of the family's 1533-position model. The record is from RNAcentral.